This 491-nucleotide ribosomal RNA is filed under the name uncultured bacterium. Its description in RNAcentral is "partial 16S ribosomal RNA". It matches the Rfam family "Bacterial small subunit ribosomal RNA", at positions 28 to 507 of the family's 1533-position model. The record is from RNAcentral.
GAUGAACGCUGGCUACAGGCUUAACACAUGCAAGUCGAGGGGAAACGACGGGGAAGCUUGCUUCCCCGGGCGUCGACCGGCGCACGGGUGAGUAACGCGUAUCCAACCUGCCUCUGACUGAGGAAUAACCCGUCGAAAGUCGGCCUAAUACCUCAUGGCAUCGUCUGCGGGCAUCCAACGACGAUUAAAGAUUUCAUCGGUCAGGGAUGGGGAUGCGUCUGAUUAGCUUGUUGGCGGGGUAACGGCCCACCAAGGCUACGAUCAGUAGGGGUUCUGAGAGGAAGGUCCCCCACAUUGGAACUGAGACACGGUCCAAACUCCUACGGGAGGCAGCAGUGAGGAAUAUUGGUCAAUGGGCGGGAGCCUGAACCAGCCAAGUAGCGUGCAGGAUGACGGCCCUAUGGGUUGUAAACUGCUUUUAUGCGGGGAUAAAGUGAGGGACGUGUCCUUCAUUGCAGGUACCGCAUGAAUAAGGACCGGCUAAUUCCGUG